This 443-nucleotide ribosomal RNA is filed under the name uncultured bacterium. Its description in RNAcentral is "partial 16S ribosomal RNA". It matches the Rfam family "Bacterial small subunit ribosomal RNA", at positions 338 to 795 of the family's 1533-position model. The record is from RNAcentral.
CCUACGGGCGGCAGCAGUGGGGAAUAUUGGGCAAUGGAGGCAACUCUGACCCAGCAACGCAGCGUGAAUGAUGAAGGUCUUCGGAUUGUAAAGUUCUGUGAUGGGGGAUGAACACAAUGACGGUACCCCAAUAGCAAGCCACCGAUAACUACGUGCCAGCAGCCGCUGUACUACGUAGGUGGCAAGCGUUAUCCGGAAUGACUGGGUGUAAAGGGUGCGUAGGUGGUUUAGUAAGUUGGCGGUGUAAUUCCGGGGCUCAACCUCGAGACUGCAGUUAAGACUGGUAGACUAGAGUUCAGGAGAGGUAGGCGGAAUUCCUAGUGUAGCGGUGGAAUGCGUAGAUAUUAGGAAGAACAUCAAGGGCGAAGGCAGCUUACUGGACUGUAACUGACACUGAGGCACGAAAGCGUGGGGAGCAAACAGGAUUAGAUACCCGAGUAGUC